CUGUUUGUGCUAAGGUGCAUCUAGUGCAGUGAGUGGAAUAGCUUAGAAUCUACUGCCCUGGAUGCGCCUUCUGGCACACGCA
Non-coding RNA from Podarcis lilfordi (Lilford's wall lizard), 82 nucleotides. The record is from the annotation of a GenBank genome assembly. Lineage: Eukaryota; Metazoa; Chordata; Lepidosauria; Squamata; Lacertidae.